GCUACGGUUUUAAAGAAAGUAGUCGGUGGAAAUGCAAUAUGUCCGUUUAUUGGAGUAGACGGCGCUUACGCGAUUAAUCUGUUAGUUAAAGGAAUUCUCCAAUGCGGUAGACUAAGCAUUAUAUUAAAGCUAGAGAAAAAAGAAAGCUCACAACUUUAAAGUCAACAAGCGCCAAAGAGCUUAAAGGAUUAUGUGUAAUUCCAUAAGCCACACACUAUUGUUAAAAAUGUGGAUACAGAUACGUUGCGAUAAAAGGUGAUGCAGACAAAAAUAGCUAAUAACACGAUAUACUAUAAAUUCAGCAUGACUGACAGUCAUUGCUAACGAAAAUACUCGAGCUGCUUUCGAUAGCUUAGCAGACGACCUACAAGAUAAUUAUGCCCAACUUAUCGGCACGACAUCGGCUAUUGAUUUGUGCAAUCAAUCAUUGCUAUGUACUUCGAAUAUAUGCAGUUUAAUAAACGAUACAAUGGUGUAGUAAAAAUAUAUCCAAAUCAGAUUUUAAUUAUUUUAGUUUCGAAAAUCGUGGUCGAAAAUAGAAUAAAGGGUAGACCGUAAAGACAAAUUAUUGCUUCUAAAUGGAUAUUUUUGGACCUGACAGCAGCUCACAAGGAUAGCGAGCAGAGAAAUUGCGAAUAGAUGACUGGUAUUAUUAUUAGCUGUUCCCAUUAGAACUAAGGAAUAACUUGCGUUAUUGCACCGCUUCAUUGUAAAAAAAUAUUCAGAGGACUCCAAGUUCAUAUUUAACGACAUAAAACCAAAUUCUUUUAAUG
Bactrocera neohumeralis is the source of this 773-nucleotide long non-coding RNA. RefSeq lists it as uncharacterized. The record is from RefSeq and is a predicted model, not a curated record. The transcript has 3 exons. Lineage: Eukaryota; Metazoa; Arthropoda; Insecta; Diptera; Tephritidae.